RNAcentral lists this ribosomal RNA (406 nucleotides) under uncultured bacterium. RNAcentral's name for it is "partial 16S ribosomal RNA". It matches the Rfam family "Bacterial small subunit ribosomal RNA", at positions 29 to 526 of the family's 1533-position model. The record is from RNAcentral.
AUUGAACGCUGGCGGAAGGCCUAACAAAUGCAAGUCGAACGAGUGGCGGACGGGUGAGUAAUGUCUGGGAAACUGCCUGAUGGAGGGGGAUAAAUACUGGAAACGGUAGCUAAUACCGCAUACCAUCGGAUUUGCCCAGAUGGGAUUAGCCAGGAGGGGGGGUAACGGCUCACCUAGGCGACGAUCCCGAGCUGGUCGGAACGGAUGACCAGCAACACUGGAACGGAGACACGGUCCAGACUCCUACGGGAGGCAGCAGUGGGGAAUAUUGCACAAUGGGCGCAAGCCUGAGGCAGCCAUGCCGCGUGUAUGAAGAAGGCCUUCGGGUUGUAAAGUACUUUCAGCGGGGAGGCGUUACCCGCAGAAGAAGCACCGGCUAACUCCGUGCCAGCAGCCGCGGUAAUAC